GACGAACGCUGGCGGCGUGCUUAACACAUGCAAGUCGAACGGAAAGGCCCUGCUUUUGUGGGGUGCUCGAGUGGCGAACGGGUGAGUAACACGUGAGUAACCUGCCCUUGACUUUGGGAUAACUUCAGGAAACUGGGGCUAAUACCGGAUAGGAGCUCCUGCUGCAUGGUGGGGGUAGGAAAGUUUCGGCGGUUGGGGAUGGACUCGCGGCUUAUCAGCUUGUUGGUGGGGUAGUGGCUUACCAAGGCUUCGACGGGUAGCCGGCCUGAGAGGGUGACCGGCCACAUUGGGACUGCGGUACGGCCCAGACUCCUACGGGAGGCAGCAGUGGGGAAUAUUGCACAAUGGGCGGAAGCCUGAUGCAGCAACGCCGCGUGCGGGAUGACGGCCUUCGGGUUGUAAACCGCUUUCGCCUGUGACGAAGCGUGAGUGACGGUAAUGGGUAAAGAAGCACCGGCUAACUACGUG
RNAcentral lists this ribosomal RNA (468 nucleotides) under uncultured bacterium. RNAcentral describes it as "partial 16S ribosomal RNA". It matches the Rfam family "Bacterial small subunit ribosomal RNA", at positions 28 to 507 of the family's 1533-position model. The record is from RNAcentral.